AGCCAAAUUCAUUAUACAAAUACUAGUUCAGGAGUAUGUAACUUACUGCAUAUAAACAACAUGAAAAUUCUAGUGGUGAAUGUAAAAUCCAUGCUUGAAGAUUCUGCUCAUAGAGCAGUGCAAAUAUAGCUGAUUGUAUAGUUGCAAAGAAACACAUCCAAAAGGUGGAUAAUAUAUGAUCUGGGCAGCAUGAAGAAAUUGGUACCUGUUAAAGUUAAAUCAGAUUUCUGUUGAUAAACAAUAAAGUUGAUUAGAUUAUAUUAAUGAUGGUGUUGUCAAUGCCAUAAUCCUCAUCUUCCUCAGUAUUGUUUACUCCAUUGGUUGCUGUGCAUUCAGGAAUAUCAAGAAGGACAAUUGGAAGGGAUAUUAGUGUCAUUACUAUUAGAUUCAGUAUUAUUAUCAUGUAGAUGAUAAGAGUCAUUUGGUUAAUAUGCUGGAUUGUUUUAGGGAGGGGGAGGGUUUCACAUAUUCAGAGUCCUAACAUCUGUAGCUAGUUGGGUAUGGUCUUCAUCAAAUCUUGUACUCCUAGUUUGAGUACACUAAAUAAAAAAUAUCAUUCUCUUCUUAUUUGUGUUAGUAAUCUAAUUAUUGAUGUUCGGCCUCAUUCACAUGUCUUAAGGGAAUCUCUUGAUCACAAUUAUGGUCACAUCAAUUGUAUUUUUUUCUCCAUAUUUGUCCAUGAUUACUAUAACCACAAUCUAACAGCUACAGCUAAACUAUGUCAUUGACAUGGUUCAGGAAGCAUUUUUUCACACGUUUCUGUUGCAUGUAUGAGGUAUACAACUAUGGAGGGACAUCAUUUGUCUCCAACAAUGUCUCAUUUCCCUGUUCCGGGUCAAUCAAAAUAUUAACUUUUGUUACUUUUUGUUUUUAAAAAAAUUCUUUUUAUUUUAUGCAUGUGACAAUAUGUGAUUGAUUUGUGAUCAGAAACAUGACACUGUUGGUAUCUCUCCAUUCAACUAUACUACCAUCAUUCAUUUUUCUUUAUAGAAAUUUGGGGAUAAGUAUGAAAUGUGUGAUUGAGGUGUAGACACAGGAUCUUAAAUGGAUGUCAUUUUAAAGAGAUAAUGGAUGGUUAUGUCCUUAAUGUGGAGGAAGAGAGUUUUUUCUCUAGGAGAGUGAAAUAAUGUGUCAUUUUAAAGAGAUAAUGAUGCAUGGUUCCCACUGUUCUUGUCCCAAGUCCUUAACCAUUGCUAUUAUUCUAUUAGAGAGAUAAGGAUGUGGAUAACAUUUGUCGCUAUUGUUAUCUGGUACACAUAAAGUUACUAACUCAUAUUGUUUGGACUAGAAACAAAGAUUCUUUUUCAGAUGUAUUAACAUUUUUAAUAAUUGCCAUUGAAUUAUCAUCUUCAAUUUGUUUUCACGUUCUCUUCAGUACAGAUUUUGGAGAAAGAAACUAGGCCAUGUUUCUUUAAGCUGCCACUUGUUUCACCUUGUUGUUUCUUCAAUUCUGAAGUGAUCCAAUUGCACCAAAACUAUCAUUGGUUCAGCAUCAUGGUUCAAUCUUGGCCUCUGCUACAUUUUCUGAAUUCUCUGACAAAAGUGGUUCUUCCAAAUCUAUACUACUACUAAUUAUCUUAUCAUCUUGCAAAUUUGAUUGUUUCUCUUGUUUAAUCUCUUCAAUCUCUUUGGCUUUACCCCAAAGUACAAUAUAUAAACCAGCUAUCACUCCAAUAGCUCCUACCAAACUGAAAAUGAAGUCAAAGUAGGCUUAAAGUGAAAUCCAAUAACAUUGUUUGAGUUAUUGAUGAACAAAAGCUAAAUAUAAAUAAAAUAUACGAACAUGGAAAAUUAACAAUGUAUAACCUUCCAACAUAUAGUUCUUCAUGCAUAAAUGUAACAGUUAUCAAAGCUGUUAUGACAGUUGCUAGAGGAUUGAACAUUGCACAGUACAAAGGACCUCUUUCUGAUAUGCACCAUGUUUGAAUAAAGAAGCUAACUGCAAUCCCAAUUCCCUAUAUCAUAAAAAUCAAUGAUUACAUUUGCAUCUACAAGCCAAAUUCAUUAUACAAAUACUAGUUCAGGAGUAUGUAACUUACUGCAUAUAAACAACAUGAAAAUUCUAGUGGUGAAUGUAAAAUCCAUGCUUGAAGAUUCUGCUCAUAGAGCAGUGCAAAUAUAGCUGAUUGUAUAGUUGCAAAGAAACACAUCCAAAAGGUGGAUAAUAUAUGAUCUGGGCAGCAUGAAGAAAUUGGUACCUGUUAAAGUUAAAUCAGAUUUCUGUUGAUAAACAAUAAAGUUGAUUA
Molecule: long non-coding RNA, 2246 nt
Filed under: Lupinus angustifolius (narrow-leaved blue lupine)
Lineage: Eukaryota; Viridiplantae; Streptophyta; Magnoliopsida; Fabales; Fabaceae
Description: long non-coding RNA (LANG_LNC000123)
Source: RNAcentral